RNAcentral lists this ribosomal RNA (587 nucleotides) under Eulimnogammarus verrucosus. RNAcentral describes it as "SSU rRNA". It matches the Rfam family "Eukaryotic small subunit ribosomal RNA", at positions 33 to 536 of the family's 1831-position model. The record is from RNAcentral. Lineage: Eukaryota; Metazoa; Arthropoda; Malacostraca; Amphipoda; Eulimnogammaridae.
UGUCUCAAAGAUUAAGCCAUGCAUGUCUAAGUCCAAGCUGUGUUCACACGGCGAGACCGCGGACGGCUCAUUAAAUCAGUCGUGGUCCAAAUGGGCCAGUGCAAAUCCUACUUGGAUAACUGUGGUAAUUCCAGAGCUAAUACAUGCAACUGAUAUCCCGAAGGCGGUGUUUGGGCUUGCUUGCCUUGCGCUGCGCUGCUCUGACGGAUGCUUUUAUUAGACCAAGCCGCUGAGGACUUGAGGGUUCGCGCUCUCUUGUCUGACUCGUGUGAUGGUGACUCUGGAUAACCAAAUUCUGACAAGCGCACGUACUUCUCUUCUGAGCGAGACGGCGCUGCCACUUUCGAGUGUCUGCCUUAUCAGCUAUCAACCGUUCGUUAUGCGCGACCGAUGGCUUUGACGGGUAACGGGGAAUCAGGGUUCGAUUCCGGAGAGGCAGCCUGAGAGACGGCUACCACGUCCAAGGACGGCAGCAGGCACGCAAAUUACCCAAUCCCAGCAAAUGGGGGAGGUAGUGACGAAAUCUAACGAUGCGGGCGCCCUUUCUGGGGCCCCGCAAUCGGAAUGGGCACUUUCUAAACAACCUG